CUCAUGCCUUGCUGCUGCACACAGAAGCAGGAUAUGCACAGGAUUGUUAAUCUCAUCUUGGACCUUCCUGCACGUGUGACUGUGACAGAUGCUUCUGUGUAGAACCUGAGUGAUUUUACUCUCCUGUCUGGAUUUAACCCACAGAUGAAUCGUGACAUAUCGCUGGACCAGAAACUAGAGAAGAUUGUGACAUCACUGGACCCAGCAAUUAGAAAAUGUUUCUCUCCUGCCUGAGCCUUGCCCACAAGAACAUUGUGACAUAUCCUUGGGCUCAGCACCCAGGUGAUGGAACUCUACCACCUGUGCCCUGUCUACUUAGGCUAUUGUGAAGUAUAGCUGGUUUCAAUACCCAGGUGAUGUAACUCUCCU
Molecule: long non-coding RNA, 369 nt
Filed under: Homo sapiens (human)
Lineage: Eukaryota; Metazoa; Chordata; Mammalia; Primates; Hominidae
Description: HSALNT0257587
Source: RNAcentral